GCAAGAUACCACGGGCGCACGGCGGAUGCCUUGGCACAGGGAGCCGAUGAAGGACGCGGCAAGCUGCGAUAAUCCCCGGCGAGGAGCACACAUCCUUCGACCCGGGGGUCUCCGAAUGGGCGAACCCAUGCACAGCAGUGUGCAUAUCCCCACCCCGAACACAUAGGGGUGGGGAGGACAACCCGGGGAACUGAAACAUCUAAGUACCCGGAGGAGAGGAAAUCAAUCUCGAGACUCCCCGAGUAGCGGCGAGCGAAAGGGGACCGAUGGCCAAACCGUCGAGCGGGGAUACCCGGCAGGGGUUCCGCCGGCGGGGUUGCAGGGCCGCGCAUCCGGGGGCUGCCGCCCCCGGGCGCAGGUCCGGCUGGGGAGCGGAACGGCAUGGGAGGGCCGGCCGCAGCGGGUGACAGCCCCGUACGCGAACCCAGACCGGACGGCGCGACGCGGUCCCUGAGUAGGGCCGGGCACGUGAAACCCGGUCCGAACCUGGGUGGACCACCAUCCAAGCCUGAGUACUACCCUGUGACCGAUAGCGCACCAGUACCGUGAGGGAAAGGUGAAAAGCACCCCGGGAGGGGAGUGAAACAGUACCUGAAACCGUGCGCCCACGAGCAGUCGGAGCACCUAUAUGGUGUGACGGCGUGCCUUUUGUAGAAUGAGCCAGCGAGUCGCUGGCGCGGGGCGAGGUUAACCGGAAGGGAGCCGUAGCGAAAGCGAGCCUUAACAGGGCGACUUGAGUCCCGCGCCGCGGACGCGAAGCCGGGUGAGCUAUCCGUGGGCAGGCUGAAGCGGGGGUAAGACCCCGUGGAGGGCCGAACGCACGUCGGUUGAAAACGGCGGCGAUGACCUGCGGAUAGGGGUGAAAGGCCAAUCAAACCCGGAGAUAUCUCGUUCUCCCCGAAAUAGCUUUAGGGCUAGCGUCGCGCGUUCACCGCCGGAGGUAGAGCACCGGAUGGACGAGGGGGCUUCGCCGCCUACCGAAUCCAACCGAACUCCGAAUGCCGGCGGCCCAGAGCGCGGCAGUCAGAGCAUGUGGGCUAAGCUGUGUGCUCGAGAGGGAAACAGCCCGGACCGCCCGCUAAGGUCCCCAAGUUCCAGCCGAGUGGCAAAGGAUGUGCGUCCGCCCAGACAACCAGGAUGUUGGCUUAGAAGCAGCCAUUCAUUCAAAGAGUGCGUAACAGCUCACUGGUCGAGUGGACAUGCGCCGACAAUACACGGGGCUAAGCUGGACACCGAAGCGGCGGGAUUUUAUCUAUAUAGAAUCGGUAGGGGAGCUUCCCAUGGGCGGGGAAGCCGCCGGGCGACCGGCGGUGGAGCGCAUGGGAGUGAGAAUGCUGGCAUGAGUAGCGAGAGACGAGAGAGUAACUCGUCCGCCGUGAACCCGAGGUUUCCUGGGCAAGGCUAAUCCUCCCAGGGUCAGUCGGGGGCUAAGGCGAGGCCGGAAGGCGUAGCCGACGCGCAGCAGGCAGACAUUCCUGCACCGCGCACGCGGCGCUACGACCGACGGGGCGACGGAUGGGGGUGGCUCGGCGGGGUUCUGGACGUCCCCGUGAUGGAGCGCGGCCCGCGGACCAGGGAAAUCCGGUCCGCACGAGGGCGAGGCUCCGGACGAAGCACUUAAGCGAAGCGAGUGAGCCCGAGGUCCCUAGAAAAACCCCUAGGCAGGCGCGUGCGCGCCCGUACCGCAAACCGACACAGGUGGGUGGGUAGAACAUACCGAGGCGAUCGGGUCAACCAUGGUCAAGGAACUCGGCACAAUGGCCCCGUAACUUCGGGAGAAGGGGUGCCCGCGCGUACGUGAACGGACUUGCUCCGGGAGCGGAGGCGGGCCGCAGUGGAGAGGCCCAAGCGACUGUUUACCAAAAACACAGGACUCUGCAGAAGCCGCAAGGCGACGUAUAGGGUCUGACGCCUGCCCGGUGCCGGAAGGUCACGCGGAGGAGUUAGCCGCAAGGCGAAGCCCCGAAGCCAAGCCCCGGUAAACGGCGGCCGUAACUAUAACGGUCCUAAGGUAGCGAAAUUCCUUGUCGGGUAAGUUCCGACCUGC
Molecule: ribosomal RNA, 2047 nt
Filed under: human gut metagenome
Description: bacterial LSU rRNA
Rfam family: Bacterial large subunit ribosomal RNA
Source: RNAcentral